AUUGAACGCUGGCGGCAUGCUUUACACAUGCAAGUCGAACGGUAACAGGCCGCAAGGUGCUGACGAGUGGCGAACGGGUGAGUAAUGCAUCGGAACGUGCCCAAUCGUGGGGGAUAACGCAGCGAAAGCUGUGCUAAUACCGCAUACGAUCUAAGGAUGAAAGCGGGGGACCGUAAGGCCUCGCGCGAUUGGAGCGGCCGAUGUCAGAUUAGGUAGUUGGUGGGGUAAAGGCUCACCAAGCCAACGAUCUGUAGCUGGUCUGAGAGGACGACCAGCCACACUGGGACUGAGACACGGCCCAGACUCCUACGGGAGGCAGCAGUGGGGAAUUUUGGACAAUGGGCGCAAGCCUGAUCCAGCAAUGCCGCGUGCAGGAAGAAGGCCUUCGGGUUGUAAACUGCUUUUGUACGGAACGAAAAGGCUCUGGUUAAUACCUGGGGCUCAUGACGGUACCGUAAGAAUAAGCACCGGCUAACUACGUG
RNAcentral lists this ribosomal RNA (482 nucleotides) under uncultured bacterium. Its description in RNAcentral is "bacterial SSU rRNA". It matches the Rfam family "Bacterial small subunit ribosomal RNA", at positions 30 to 507 of the family's 1533-position model. The record is from RNAcentral.